GUCAUCAUCCCCCACAGCCGAUUAUGGUCACCAUACUACCAUGUGACUGGAAUAAUUUGUCUGACACCUUUAUUGUCUUCUCGUAAAUAGCCUUUACAAUUAGUAAUUGUACAAUUUAAAGCGUAGGUAGGUCAUGCGAUACGCCAAAUCUUCGUAGUGUACUAGCUCCAGCAGAAGGCGCCAUAUCCGUACCUGAAAAUCUGCACCCCAGAGCCUGACUGGCAGAGGACCUGAGCCCUAGGACCAUGCUUCAGGACUACCUGGCAUGAUGACUCCUUGCUGUCCCCAGUCCACCUGGCCGUGCUGCUGCUCUAGUUUCAACUGUCCUGCCUGCGGCUAUGGAACCCUGACCUGUUCACCGGACGUGCUACCUGUCCCAGACCUGCUGUUUUCAACUCUCUAGAGACAGAAAGAGCGGUAGAGAUACUCUCAAUGAUCGGCUAUGAAAAGUCAACUGACAUUUACUCUUGAGGUGCUGACUUGUUGCACCCUCGACAACUACUGUGAUUAUUAUUAUUUGACCAUGCUGGUCAUUUAUGAACAUUUGAACAUCUUGGCCAUGUUCUGUUAUAAUCUCCACCCGGCACAGCCAGAAGAGGACUGGCCACCCCUCAUAGCCUGGUUCCUCUCUAGGUUUCUUCCUAGGUUUUCCUAGUUACCGUGCUUCUAUACCUGCAUUACUUGCUGUUUGGGGUUUUAGACUGGGUUUCUGUACAGCACUUUGAGAUAUCAGCUGAUGUAAGAAGGGCUAUAUAAAUACAUUUGAUUUGAUAUAAGAACAAUUCUGAAUGGGUCUCUGAAGUAUCCAUUCUAACCACGAGAGACUUUAUGGGAGCACAGAGACACGGACGGAUGAACUUUCCAACAGAAAGAUGGACGAUUCCAACAGAGAUCACAACGACACACUGAGCGUAAAUAUGUAUUGAUUGCAAUUAUUCCCAAAUGAGUGAGCGUUGCUGUGCAAAGGAUUAGCAUUUCAAUCAAUAUAAUUAUCAACUGUGUAGUGACUCUUAUAAUUCUCGCCCUUCUCAGUCCACACCCACAACCCUUUGUCCACCAAGCCGUCAAAUCAGCUUAGCCCACUAGGGAUCAUUUCCUUGUAACCAUAUCUACUGUUUGUUUGUUUAUGCAUUUCUGUGAUUAUAUAGUUAGUUAGUAAAUAAAUGAUUAAGACAAUUGAUGUAUGGAUGAUUCAUAGUAAAGGCUGGCUUCGUGCAGAUAACCAACGAUUUACGACUUCGGAAUGAGACUAACGUGAGGUAAAGAAUAAUUCAUUAAUUAGAAGACUAAUUGAUCAGAUAUUAAAAUAUCUGAAGAGUUAUAUUAGGAAAAUUAUAACUUUGCAAUCUGAAGAUUUUCAUUGGUGCCCCGACUUCCUAGUUAAUUACAUUUACAUGAUUAGUUUAAUCACGUAAUAAUAAUUACAGAGAAUUGAUUUGAUAAAAUAACAGUUCAAUUUAAUGAUGCCAAAGACACGACGCCACAGUAAAACGAGUCCUAUAUCGACAUAACCUGAAAAGCCCCUCAGCAAGGAAGAAGCCACUGCUCCAAAACCAUCAUAAAAAAGCCAGACUACGGUUUGCAACUGCACAUGGGGACAAAGAUUGUACUUUUUGGAGAAAUGUCCUCUGGUCUGAUGAAACAAAAAUAGAACUGUUUGGCCAUAAUGACCAUCGUUAUGUUUGGAGGAAGAGGAG
RNAcentral lists this long non-coding RNA (1697 nucleotides) under Salmo salar (Atlantic salmon). RNAcentral describes it as "lncRNA (ENSSSAG00000112975.1)". Lineage: Eukaryota; Metazoa; Chordata; Actinopteri; Salmoniformes; Salmonidae. The record is from RNAcentral.